Rattus norvegicus (Norway rat) is the source of this 575-nucleotide non-coding RNA. NCBI's taxonomy places the organism in Eukaryota, Metazoa, Chordata, Mammalia, Rodentia, Muridae. The record is from RefSeq and is a predicted model, not a curated record.
GGGCGGAGCAUACCUGGCUGUUGCCAGGUAACUGUGGGGGUGGAGCUUAGACAGAAUGCUAACAAUGAGUCUUUGUAUCCCAGGUGCUUUAUCCGAAUCUGCCCUGGUCCUGGCUCUGUUCCACCUCUUCCUCUUUUUUCCUUGGUGAUCUAUGCAGUCUGGGGUGUCUCAACCCCAUGCCGAGGUACUCAGUCUACCUGAAUAGAACCUGGAUCUCCCUAUAGUCUGGGAAGGCAGUGGUCCGUCGUCGCAAAAGCAACCAGGGCGAGCUGUUGCCUACCGAGGAUGCCAGCACCAGAGGCAGGGCCGUGGACCCAGCGAUGCCAUUUCAGGUCACCAUGGCAACCGCUCCUAAGUAAGCAGAGGAUUCCCACUUAAACUGUGGCUAAGACACGGAGAAGUCAAGAGGCACAACGAGAGCCACCACAGCACAUGUAUGCAUCCCACAUGCAGUCACCAGACCCAGUCACUAUUGUGGAUGCCAAGAGGUGCAAGCUGACAGGAGCCUAAUAUAGCUGUCUUCUAAGAGGCUCUGCCAGAGCAUGACAAAUACAGAGGUGGAUGCUCACAGCCAA